CUGCCAUACCUUUCGAGAGCGAGUACCCUGAGAUGUUGAACAGGUGGGACCCAUUCACCGUCUCGGUCAUCGACGUCGAUGUCGUCGUCGGAGUCGGAGUUGGAGUCGACCCAGACAAAGAAGAUGAAGAAGAAGAAAACAUCGGCUGAGACUUAGGAGAGACAAUUCGUCUCAUUUAUAGCAAGGGAUCUGGGUAGAGAUAAAAAUUUCGAUGUUUGGUUAGUGAGAAAAUCUAGUAUUUGGUCAAUUGUUGGAGAGAGAAAUGGUUGAACGAUGACUUUGAACUGUGGGAUUGACCAGUGAAAUGGUGGAACUCGUUAGAAGAAGAA
Long non-coding RNA from Quercus robur (English oak), 329 nucleotides. RefSeq lists it as uncharacterized. NCBI's taxonomy places the organism in Eukaryota, Viridiplantae, Streptophyta, Magnoliopsida, Fagales, Fagaceae. The transcript is spliced from 2 exons. The record is from RefSeq and is a predicted model, not a curated record.